GCCGCGUGCAGGAAGAAGGCCUUCGGGUUGUAAACUGCUUUUGUCAGGGAAGAAAUCCUCUAGGUUAAUACCCUUGGGGGGAUGACGGUACCUGAAGAAUAAGCACCGGCUAACUACGUGCCAGCAGCCGCGGUAAUACGUAGGGUGCAAGCGUUAAUCGGAAUUACUGGGCGUAAAGCGUGCGCAGGCGGCUUUGCAAGACAGAUGUGAAAUCCCCGGGCUCAACCUGGGAACUGCAUUUGUGACUGCAAGGCUAGAGUACGGUAGAGGGGGAUGGAAUUCCGCGUGUAGCAGUGAAAUGCGUAGAUAUGCGGAGGAACACCAAUGGCGAAGGCAAUCCCCUGGACCUGUACUGACGCUCAUGCACGAAAGCGUGGGGAGCAAAACAGGAUUAGAUACCCUGGUAGUCCACGCCCUAAACGAUGUCAACUGGUUGUUGGACGGCUUGCUGUUCAGUAACGAAGCUAACGCGUGAAGUUGACCGCCUGGGGAGUACGGCCGCAAGGUUGAAACUCAAAGGAAUUGACGGG
This 530-nucleotide ribosomal RNA is filed under the name uncultured bacterium. Its description in RNAcentral is "bacterial SSU rRNA". It matches the Rfam family "Bacterial small subunit ribosomal RNA", at positions 396 to 917 of the family's 1533-position model. The record is from RNAcentral.